RNAcentral lists this non-coding RNA (203 nucleotides) under Methyloceanibacter superfactus. Lineage: Bacteria; Pseudomonadati; Pseudomonadota; Alphaproteobacteria; Hyphomicrobiales; Hyphomicrobiaceae. The record is from RNAcentral.
UAUAGUCGCCCCGUCGUCGGUUCCCACAUUCCGUGGGACGUAAAAGGGAACGCGGUGAGGGAUUUUCCCCGAUUCCGCGGCUGCCCCCGCAACUGUAAGCGGCGAGCACCCCUCCGUAAGGCCACUGGAGCGAAGCUUCCGGGAAGGCCGAGGGAAGGCGUCGACCCGCGAGCCAGGAGACCUGCCGCCGGCUCAACCUUGAA